Oncorhynchus keta (chum salmon) is the source of this 8428-nucleotide long non-coding RNA. RefSeq lists it as uncharacterized. Lineage: Eukaryota; Metazoa; Chordata; Actinopteri; Salmoniformes; Salmonidae. The transcript is spliced from 5 exons. The record is from RefSeq and is a predicted model, not a curated record.
UAUGCUACUGUAUUGAGAUUAUUUGCAAAACUAUCUCCCAAUCCCUCCUUUUCCUCAUUAAUGGAGUUAAUGUAAGUUUUGACAAAAUGUGUUUAGCCUAUUGUAUAUUACGGUGGUAUAUUGCUGCCACUCAGAAAAAUAAUAUUUUUUUUAUCAUUAUGAUAUAACAUCACAUUAUUACGAAAUAAAUCAAUAACGAAAAUAACACAUGUUGUCGUUAUUAUAAUACAGAUAACGUUAUAAUGAGACAGAUCUUGUUAUUACGAGAAAUAUAAUGGUGUAAUGAGAAAUAUGUAGUUGAAAUUAAAUGAAAUUCGAAAUAUGUAGUUGAAAUGAAAUGAAAUAGCCCGGUUGCACGCUAUUAUGAAAAAUAGCCUUAGGCUACUUGGCAUAUUUGGCUUCCUCUCAUGCACAGGUUGACAUUCUGGCUGGUUUGCUUGAGUUGGUCAAUUACAUGUUUUCCCUCGGUUUGAGGCAUUGAUAGAUAUUAGAGAAAUGUCAUUGAGGAAUAAAUAUGGUGUUGUCAUUAGUUUACGGACAUUGUGGAGUUCUCUAAAGGCUCUAUAAACGAAAGAAAAAAAACGAUCGGACUUCCUUGAAAUAGCUUUAUUCCUUCCCGAUCAACUGGGCCGUUAUGGGAAGUUACGUGGAUACCAACUAAUGCAUCUAAACGGAAUGUGUGGUAAUCCAAAACACAGUCAGGCAUUUACUUCAUGCUCUAGACCCCCAUGAAGUGCACAUUUUGGGCAGAAGUCUCUGGGAACGAGUUUAACUGGCAUGCUACUUUACCUUCACAACCAAGAGGACAGUCAUCGAGGAACAUUUUAGGUAACCCAGCUAGCACAGAACGUUCCCUAAAGGGUCUCAUUUGUAAAAAAAAAAAAAAAAAAAAAAAAAAAAAAAAAAAACCUUUCACAGAACGUUCUGGGAACAUUGUGGGAAAGUAAUUUGUCUAAGAACCAAAGGAUACCCUUUAGGGAGCAUUGCUAUUUUGGUAAGGUAGAAACACAUUGUUCUGAAAACAUUCAAAUAACCUCAUAAAAUAAUGUUAUUUUUUGGUGAAUUUCAACUUUUACAUAACAUUCCCCUGUGGUUCCCGUUUGGUUGUUGGGAGAAAAAUAGUUCUGGGAACGUUCUGGAAACAUUGCAUAUCUAAGGCCGUAUUGGAUCAAACUGCUGAAAGAGAAGAUAAAGUGUGUGUGGAGCUUGCUUGGACAGUUUCCCCACCUGCACCAUCUCCAUUUUGUCCAGAAGUCUACUCGUAAAAUGUGACUUUAGGUUACUUUAUUACUACAAUGAACACUCACCGGACGGUUUAUUAGAUGGAGCAAUUGUGGGACACCACCACUUGUGAACACCUACUCAACCUCUAAGGUAAAUGGCGUACAGUAACUUGAUAGCAUUGAAGCAUUCACAUUGAAACAAUGGACCUUAUUUUGUUGCUAAUCCCAAAUGGACCCUUAUACUCUAUGCACAUGUGUUGAUCUGAGAUGAUUUGAUGGUUUUAAACAAUAUGAUUAAACUUCCACCUAGCCUAUCAGAGGGCUAAUUGGAAUAAUGACAAAUUUGCUCACAUAAGUCAAAUCCUCUCAGAUCUCCUCAAGUGCAUAAGGAGUAGGGUCUAAGGCAGGGUUAUUCAACUCUUACCCUACGAGGGUUGGAGCCUGCUGGUUUUCUGCUCUACCUGAUAAUUAAUUGUACACACCUUAUUUCCCAGGUCUAAAUCAGUCAGUCCCUGAUUAGAGGAAAACAUUUUUUUUUUUAAUUUAGUGGAACUUCCUUCAAGGUUCAGAGUUGAGUUUGAGGGGUCUAGGGGUUGAUUUAGGAUUGGGCCAUACUUUUGUAAUCAGAACUUUCAAUUGAAGUGUAACGAUACAUUAGACGUCUGUUAUGGUUAACAUGUGAUUCAGUUUGUCUCACAGAAGUUUCUCUAAGCUCAACUGGAAGUGUCACAGAGUAGAGGUACAGUAAUUGGCUUGAUACUCUUUAAAAACAUUGAAGCAUUCACAUCGAAACAGUGGACCUUAUUUUGUAUUGUCACAUUUUAGAGCCUGAACUUACAAAUGAACUCAGAUGUCUGUUAAUGUUAACAUGUGAUUCAUUUUGUCUCAGACAUCACUCUACCCAACCGUAAACAAUGGACCUCACAAGACAGCAGAUGUAUGGCUUACAGUAACUUAAUAUAUUUAAAAACAUUGAAUCAUUCACAUCAACACAAUAGACCUUAUUUUGUGGCGUCAACAAUGAAGUGUGACAUACAGUACAUUAGGCUUCCGUUAACAGACAUCUCUCCACCCAACCGUACUGCAACAGUCCCAGUCUCUCCACUCGUCCCGCAGUCUCCCCAACCAGAAGAGGGGGACCUGCCCUCUGUGAGAAUAAGUAAACACUGAAACAUACAAAUUUAGUAAAAAAUAUAAUGUUUCUUGUUAAAGCUAGAAUCCUUAAUAGAAACAAUAAAAAAGCGGUCUCCCUGCCUCCAUUUGGCAAAAAGCUGAGGGAUGGGCCUUUUCUGUGACAUUUCUCUAAUUUGUUGCUACUAUCCUGUCUCUAUAACUCCCCUUAUGUAUGCUGUUACUAUAGGAAGUGAGCUAACUUAACUUAAAAAAGUGAAUACACUAGCUGUGCCACUAGAGAUUCUGGGUUCGAGUCCAGGCUCUGUUGCAGCCGGCCGCGACCGGGAGACCCAUGGGGCGGCGCAUAAUUGGCCCAGCGUCGUCUGGGUUAGGGGAGGGUGUGACCGGCAGGGAUAUCCUUGUCUCAUCGCUCACUAGAGACUCCUGUGGCGGGCCGGGUGCAGUGCACGCUGACUCGGUCGCCAGGUGUACGGUGUUUCUUCCGACACAGUGGUGCGGCUGGCUUCCGGGUUGGAUGGGCAUUGUGUCAAGAAGCAGUGCGGCUUGGUGUGGUUGUGUUUCGGAGGACGCAUGACUCUUGUCCUUCGCCUCUCCCGAGUCCGUACGGGAGUUGCAGCGAUGAGACAAGAUUGUAACUACUACCAAUUGGAUACUACAAAAUUGGGGAGAAAAUACAAAAAAAGUUAAUACAAAUCAGAUGUAUUUGUCACAUGCGCCGAAUACAACAAGUGUGUAGAGUUUACCGUGAAAGGCUUACUUAUGAGCCCUUUCCCAACAAUGCAGUUAAAAAGUAAGAAAAUGAACAAUAGAUGAAAAUAGUAACACAAUAAAAAAUAAAAAUGCUAUAUACAGUACAAGGAGUAUCAGUACCGAGUUAGUGCAGUGGGGUAUGAGGUAGUUUGGUUGAUUUGAUUGAGGUAAUAUGUACAUGUAGGUUUGGUUAGGUGACUGAAGUACUGUACUUGUAAGGUCAUAUUUUAGAACUUAGCUAGCUAGUCAUGUUGGCAAUAACAUUUUUACAUAACAUUUAAGUCAUUUAGCAGACGCUCUUAUCCAGAGCGACAGAAUAAGCUUUCAAAUGAUGGCCACCUGACCCAGAUUGCUGUUUAUAAUGGACCGUUUUUGGAUUGCGUAAAAAACAACAGUGUGAUUGAUGGUGGGCGAUACAGGACCGUGUUCCAAAAAUUUGUAAAUACAAGCAGGGCAUAAAAUUAACACCUGCCAAAUGAGGGUAGAUUAAGGUAAUGUGGGUAAGCAUGUCUAUUUCACCAUCCGCGUUGUAGGAUGGUGUAGGAUAUUAAUUUUCACAAAGUUUGCUGCUUCAGUGUCUUUAGAUAUUUUUGUCACAUGUUACUAUGGAAUACUGAAGUAUAAUUACAAGCAUUUCAUAUGUGUCAAAGGCUUUCAUUGACAAUUACAUGAAGUUGAUGCAAAGAGUCAAUAUUUGCACUGUUGAUGCUUUUUUUUUAAAGACCUCUGCAAUCUGCCCUGGCAUGCUGUCAAUUAACGUCUGGGCCACAUCCUGACUGAUGGCAGCCCAUUCUUGCAUAAUCAAUGCUUGGAGUUUGUCAGAAUUUGUGGGUUUUUGUUUGUCCACCCGCCUCUUGAGGAUUGACCACAAGUUCUCAAUGGGAUUAAGGUCUGGGGAGUUUCCUGGCCAUGGACUCAAAAUAUCAAUACUUUUGCCUUGUGGCAAGGUGCUCCAUCAUGCUGGAAAAGGCAUUGUUCGUCACCAAACUGUUCCUGGAUGGUUGGAUGUUCCUGGCUGGUUGGGAGAAGUUGCUCUCGGAGUGUUGGUACCAUUCUUUAUUCAUGGCUGUGUUCUUAGGCAAAAUUGUGAGGGAGCCCACUCCCUUGGCUGAGAAGCAACCCCAUACAUGAAUAGUCUCAGGAUGCUUUACUGUUGGCAUGACACAGGACUGAUGUUAGCGCUCACCUUGUCCUCUCCGGACAGGCUUUUUUUCCAGAUGCCCCAAACAAUUGGAAAGGGGAUUCAUCAGAGAAAAUUACUUUACCCCAGUCUUCAGCAGUCCAAUCCCUGUACCUUUUGCAGAAUAUCAGUCUGUCCCUGAUGUUUUUCCUGGAGAGAAGUGGCUUCUUUGCUGCCCUUCUUGACACCAGGCCAUCCUCCAAAAGCCUUCGCCUCACUGUGCGUGCAGAUGCACUCACACCUGCCUGCUGCCAUUCCCGAGCAAGUACUGGUGGUGCGCCUGUACUGGUGGUGCCCCGAUCCCGCAGCUGAAUCAAUUUAGGAGACGGUCCUGCCGCUUGCUGGACUUUAUUGGGCGCCCUGAAGCCUUCUACGCAACAAUUGAACCGCUCUCCUUGAGGUUCUUGAUGAUCCGAUAAAUGGUUGAUUCAGGUGCAAUCUUACUGGCAGCAUUAUCCUUGCCUGUGAAGCCCUUUUUGUGCAAAGCAAUGAUGAUGGCACGUGUUUCCUUGCAGGUAACCAUGAUUGACAGAGGAAGAACAAUGAUUCAAAUACCACCCUCCUUUUGAAGCUUCCAGUCUGUUAUUCGAACUCAAUCUGCAUGACAGAGUGAUCUCCAGCUUUGUCCUCGUCAACACUCACACCUGUGUUAACGAGAGAAUCACUGACAUGAUGUCAGCUGGUCCUUUUGUGGCAGGGCUGAAAUGCAGUCUAAAUGUUUUUUGGGGAUUCAGUUAAUUUGCAAUACAAAAAGGGACUUUGCAAUUAAUUGCAAUUCAUCUGAUCACUCUUCAUAACAUUCUGGAGUAUAUGCAAAUUGCCAUCAUACAAACUGAGGCAGCAGACUUUGUGAAAAUUAAUAUUUGUGUCAUUCUCAAAAUUUAUGGCCAUGACUGUACAGGUGCUUUGGUCAAAAUGGCGAAGAGGCAGAGCAGAAAAAGGAAAGUUAAAGUAAUCACAGUUGUAGUUUCUUGAUCUACAGUAUACUGAAUCACACCUGUUUUGUUCAAUUGUUGUGUGGUCAUUGAAAAAACUAUACAUAUUUGAUUAUCACUUUUAUUUAAAUCUAUAAUAAAUAUUUAUUAAACAGAUUUUUUUAACAUUCAGUUCACAAAAUGACGAUGUCUGGUGCACCAGAGGUACACAAUAAUGAUGCUAAAUUAGGAACUUUCAAAAGAAACUUGAAAAUACAUUCCAAUACCUCUAACUAAUAACAUGUCUUAUUUUUUUUUACAGCUGUCUCUCCGCUGUCCAAUGAUGGUAAAAAGCUCAACUGACAACUAUUUCAAAACACAUAUUUGAUUUUCACUUUUAUUUAGAUAUAUGUUGUACCCAGGGCCUAAAAUGAACACCCACCAAAUACGGGUAGAUUUUGGCAUUGGCGGGUAUGAUUUCUAUUUCAUCAGUCACGUUGCCGGGUGGUCAGGGCUCCACAUUGCAAACAUUUCACUCUCAUUUGUGAAUAAAAAGUCAAGUAUGAUCACAUUAAUAGCAAAAUAAAUACUGCAGUAGCUGUUUUCAAUGUAUUUCUGCCUUGAGCUGCAACACUGCAUGGCUGGGGGCUGUGUGCACUUGAAGAGCUGCACACAGGCAUGAAAAUGGGUCUAAUUUACUUGAAAUGAAGUGAGACUUUGUCCUUGUGUUUCUUGGCUAUUGACAUACUUUUGUUCACAAGCUAGGGUGUUUUUCAAUGUUUGAGUUUAAGCUGCUAGGGUAGAGAAGCAAUACUAGUCAGACUCAAUCUCACAAGCACAAACAUGACUCCAGUCGUGUUACCAGGGUAACCUCCCGACCUUAAAAGGCCAGAUGAACAUUUGUGUCUCAUCUGUGAUAUUUUGGUUAACAUGAAAUCAAAUAAUAUACCACAUCACUUCUUACUAGUAAUAUAUUUGUUUUUUUUAGAAACAUUACAAAGCAUGCUCAUCUGUUUUUUUGUGUUUUGUUGGUGUAAUUUUAGUGGAAAAAAAUAUUUUGGCUGCUAGAAUUUUAAAUAUACCUGCCACAGUGGCUGGUAGACCAAAAAGUACAUUUUAGGCCCAGGUUGCACCCAUCUUUUUUUGGUGCUAAUUUAGGAACUUUCAAAUGAAAUUUAGUUGGAACUCCUAACAAUUCAGCGACAGCUGCUAGCCGCUGGAGCACAAGAUCUGCCAGACGAAGUCCUGCCUAAACCUUGUACAACCAAGGAGGAUUUGGAGGACCUCUGCAAGAGUCUGGAGGAGGCCACCACAUAACGGAAAGAGAUGGUUGCAGGGAGGGUUGAAGAGGAGGUUGUGGAGGAGUGAGCCCUUGACUCCCCUGUACCAUAGACGGUGGUCAGACAAGACAAUUGUGUAAUCCGUGUGUGCGUGUGUGUGUGCCAAUCAGAUUGCAGAUGUCUGAAUUGUUAGCAAAAAUAUAUUUUAUUUUGUAAGAUUUCAUUACUUUUUUUCAAACAAUACAAAACAUGCACAUACCAACAACAGCAUACAGACGCACACAAACAUCAAUGACAUAACACCUGGCCAGACCCACCUGCUCACACCCCAUCCAUCUCCAGCGCCUGCAUCACUCUCCGCAACAUGGCCUCAAACUGUACCAUUUUGUUUUACUCUGUCACCAACGCAUUUUCAAAAUUUUAGAUAAUAUAGUAUUGGACUUUUCCAUUGUGUUAGUGAUGGAGGAUUGGUUGAUUUCCAGUUAAGUGUGCAUUUUUUUUCAAGAUGAUUGAUGAAAUGUAUCAUUCAACCCAUCGGGUAUCUCACUGCUCACUCAUAUGCCAUGUCUUGAAAUAUGACAGAUGGAUUAAAAUGAAUUUACAUUGUGAUACUUCUGACAGACAACUUUCUAUCUCUGCCCAUAACAUUUGGACUUCAUAGCAUCCGCAGAAGGCAUGGAUUAUUGUUAGUUUUAUGCUUAAGACAUGACUCUGCCAUUGUGCUGACGUUUGUGAUUUUUCUCUUUGUAUAAUACAUUCUAUACAUUAGUUUAUACUGGAUUAAGUGUACAUUUUUGUUAUUGGUGUCCCUAUACUGGGAGGUUGAGAUAAUGUAUGAUAAUGUAGUUAGCAUGACAUUGUAAGAAAACAGCAAACUUUCCAGGACAUUGACAUGUCUUAUAUGGGCAGAAAGCGUAAAUUAUUUCAUCAAACUGCGCUGUCCAAUUUACAGUAGCUAUUACAGUGAUAAAAUAGCAUGCUAUUGUUUGAGGAGAGUGCAACAACAACAAAACUUUUAUCACGGAACUGGUUUGAUGCAUUCCCCUCUGAAGGUAAAUAAUGUACUUAUAUUCAGUAGUCUUGCUCUGAUUUGUCAUCCUGAGGGUCACAGAGAUAAAAUGUAGCAUAGUUUUGUUUGUAUUAUCUUACCAAAUCUAAUGUGUUGUUCUCCUACAUUUAAUUUCACAUUUCCACAAACUUCAAAGUGUUUCCUUUAAAAGGGUAUUAAGAAUAUGCACAGUCCCCAAGAACAAACUCAAGAAAGCGUACAGUUUUAUAUAGAGCCCUUAUUGCAUGGAACUUCCUUCCAUCUCAUAUUGCUCAAAUAAAGAGCAAACCUGGAUUCAAAAAGCAGAGAAAGCAACACCUCAUGGCACAACGCCUCUCCUCUAUUUGACCUAAAUAGUUUGUGUGUAUGCAUUGAUAUGUAGGCUACGUGUGCCUUUUAACAUUUCUUUAUGUAGUUCAGUCCUUGUGCUGUUCUUGUCUAUUGAUGUUCUGUAUUAUGCCAUUCUGUAUUAUGUUUCAUGUUUUGUGUGGACCCCAGGAAGAGUAGCUGCUGCAUUUCCAACAGCAAAUGGGGAUCUUAAUAAAAUGCCAAAUAUCCUUGCUUCAGGUCCUGAGCUACCGGCAGUUAGAUUUGGGUAUGUCAUUUUAGGCGAAAAUUGAAAAAAUGUCCGAUCCUUCGUUAAUAAAGUUCCAACAUUCCCUCCGUCAUGUGCCAAUAUCACUUAUUUUUAAGUCUUGGAGAGCUUAAAACGUUCCAUUUGAUUCUGAGUUGUAUUUGCCCAUAUGAAGUUAGUUUGUUAUGACUGAGUAUACUGUACUUUAAAAAAAAAUGUCUUCAGUGUGGUAAUUGGUUUUACUGAGAAUAAAUAUAACAACUAAUUGUUCAUAUUUAAUUGUGGCAGCCAGUGUGUGUGCUAAUCUGAUUGCAGAUUUCUCCGA